UAGACCUAAAACCAUAAAAACCCUAGAAGAAAACCUAGGAAUUACCAUUCAGGACAUAGGCACGGGCAAAGACUUCAUGUCUAAAACACCAAAAGCAAUGGCAACGAAAGCCAAAAUUGACAAAUGGGAUCUAAUUAAACUAAAGAGCUUCUGCACAGCAAAAGAAACUACCAUCAGAGUGAACAGGCAACCCACAAAAUGGGAGAAAAUUUUUGCAAUCUACUCAUCUGACAAAGGGCUAAUACCCAGAAUCUACAAUGAACUCAAACAAAUUUACAAGAAAAAAACAAACAACCCCAUCAAAAAGUGGGCGAAGGACAUGAACAGACACUUCUCAAAAGAAGACAUUUAUGCAGCCAAAAAACACAUGAAAAAAUGCUCACCAUCACUGGCCAUCAGAGAAAUGCAAAUCAAAACCACAAUGAGAUAUCAUCUCACACCAGUUAGAAUGGCAAUCAUUAAAAAGUCAGGAAACAACAGGUGCUGGAGAGGAUGUGGAGAAAUAGGAACACUUUUACACUGUUGGUGGGACUGUAAACUAGUUCAACCAUUGUGGAAGUCAGUGUCAUUGGGUUUUUUUAAAAAGCUAUUCACUCAUUCAAUUUAUUUGAUAAAUAUUUAGUGAAUGUCUACUCUGUGCCAAACACUUUCUAGGCAUUUACAUUCUAGCAGGAUGUAUCAGUUAGCUAUUGCCACAGUGAUGUGUAACAAUAACCACGAAAUUUCCGUGGCAUGAAAAAUUAAUCACUUAUUAAGAAUUUAUCUUCACAGAUCUGGAGGCCAGCUGGGACUCAGAUGAUUAAAGAGGGCUCUGUUGGGUAACUUUAUUCAGGCUGGGGUCACUGUACUUUCCUUGCCGCAGUACUGUGGGUAAGCUAUGGUGGCUCUGCUUCAUGUAUUUCUCAUCCUCCUUAGACCAGUGAACUAGCUGGGUCUCGUUUCUCUGUGGCUUCUUUCAUGAAUCAUAAGAGAUGACAUGUCCAACUCUGGUUUCACUCCAUUAACCAAAGUCUCAUGAAUGAGCUCAAAGACAGGAGGUAGGAAAAUAAGCUCCAGUUUUUUGUGUGCGGAUUUGCAAAGUUCAUGACAAAGGUUGAGAAAGGGGCCAGUAAUUCAAUUUAGGUGGGAAAGACUAACAAAGAACAAUAAGCCUAAUACAUAAGUAAAUUAUCAAAUAUAUUAGAAGGUGAUAAGUAAUAUUUCAAGAUUCUAAUGUGUAGCUAAGACUGAGAACUACUGAUCUUACAGUGUCAAACCUGGAAAGAAACCUGGUCUAACGUUCCUUGAACCAUUUUGAAAAUAGUAAAGCAGACCGUUCUCCCAGAAAGGAGAAGAAUCUUAUUCGAGGUCCAUGGAUGGAUAGAAAUGGAGCUAGGACCCAGGUCUUCUGAUUCUUUAGAUUAUUUCUCUUAUACCACAGUAUUCCAAUCUGUAGUCUUAGAAUUCUCCCUUUAUUGAUGGCACCAAAAAUAUGUUGUGGAAGGACAUCAUCAUUCUUACUUCUCUUGAUCUCAGACAUUAGAAGUAUGCUACCUAAUUCCUAUACUUCUCUUAGUGACUCAAUUCAGAGCCCAAUUUGACAUUCUCCAUAUUUGUACCCUUCAAAACUUUAUACACAUUCUAUCCUCUUUCAGCUUUUUUUUCUCUUCAAGUUGAAGACUGUUAGUUUUGGUCUGUCUUCAUGUGAUUCCCCAGGGUGCUACCUCAGCUGUCUGCUUGGUUAUUGGGCCUUCUCUUUUCUCCAGCUCUCUAAUGCCUUGAAUGAAGAGUAUUUCUUGAGUUACUUUUUUACUCUGAGCAUCCACUAGGCCUUAUAGUCACCGUUGCUGUUCUGGAUUACAGUCUUCUUGAUUUGCCAGGAUGAACAAUCAGAAGAAAAGAAAAUAUAUGGAACUUGCUUGUACCUGGAGUUUAUUGUCUGGAGAGAAUGUUGCUUCAAAUUCUCUGGCUUCGUUUUCAUGUAAAGAGCUUACAGAUUACCAGGAAGUAUUCAGAAAACAUCUAAAAGAAAAAUACCUAAAGAUAGGAGUUGAUAAAUGUUAUCAGCAUGGCAAGCAUAUAGAGUCACGACUGCUUCUUGUAAAAGACCAUGGUAUAUCAGAAGAGACACCAUAUGGAAUUCCUCAACAAGAUCAUUUUAUUGACAUGGAACAUGUAUUUGAUUCUAAUGAAGAGGGCUCCAGCUCACCCCGAACUGUGGUGCUUCAGGCAUGUGCUGGGACUGGAAAAACAGCUGUGGUGCACAAGUUCAUGUUUGACUGGGCAGCAGGAACGGUUACUCCAGGCAGGUGUGACUAUCUCAUCUACGUCAACUGCAUUGAAAUCAGCCAUAUUGCUAACCUUAGUUCUGCUGACCUUAUACUAACACUUUUCAAAAUAUAAAUGGACCAAUCUUGGACACUAUUCUCAUAUAUCCAAAGAUUCUGCUCAUUCUCGACAGAUUUCCUGAGCUGCAGGACCCUGUUGGUGACCAAGAAGAGGAUCUUAGUGUUCACCCCCAGGAGAGGAGGCCAGUAGAGAGUCUCUUGUGCAGUUUUGUGAGGAAAAAACUGUUCCCCGAAUCCUCCCUCCUGAUAACUGCCCGGCCUACAGCCAUGAAGAAGCUCCACUCUCUGUUAAAACAACCUAUCCAGGCAGAGAUAUUAUGGUUUACAGAUACCGAAAAGAGAGCAUAUUUAUUGAGCCAGUUUUCAGGUGCUAAUACAACAAUGAAAGUCUUUUAUGAUCUUUGAGAGAAUGAAGACCUUGACAUUAUGUCUUCACUUCCCAUCGUCUCCUGGAUGAUAUGCAAUGUCCUGCAGUCACAGGGAGAUGGUGACAGGACUCUCUUGAGGUCACUUCAGACCAUGACUGAUGUGUAUUUAUUCUACUUUUCCAAGUGCCUCAAAACCCUUACAGGUAUCUCAGUAUGGGAGGGACAAAGUUGCCUGUGGGGUCUUUGCCGUUUGGCUGCAGAGGGUCUGCAAAAUCAUCAGGUUUUGUUUGCAGUCAGUGACCUCAGAAGACAUGGGAUAGGAGUGUGUGAUACCAACUGCACUUUUCUCAGUCGCUUUUUGAAAAAGGCUGAAGGAGCUGUCAGUGUCUACACUUUCCUUCACUUCAGUUUCCAAGAGUUCUUGACUGCUGUCUUCCAUGCCCUGAAGAAUGACAAUAGCUGGAUGUUUUUUUAUCAAGCAGAGAAAAUGUGGCAAGAAAUGUUCCAACAAUAUGGAAAAGGUUUUUCAUCACUAAUGAUAUAAUUCUUAUUUGGCCUCUUACAUAAAGGAAAAGGAAAGGCUGUGGAAACUACUUUUGGAAGAAAAGUUUCCCCAGGACUUCAAGAGGAGUUACUGAAGUGGACUGAGAGAGAAAUAAAGGAUAAGUCUUCUAGGUUACAGAUUGAGCCGGUGGACCUGUUUCACUGUUUGUAUGAGAUUCAGGAAGAAGAAUAUGCAAAAAGGAUAAUUGAUGAUUUACAGUCAAUUAUACUGCUUCAACCUACCUAUACAAAAAUGGACAUUCUGGUUAUGUCCUUCUGUGUAAAAAGCAGUCACAGUCACCUGUCAGUGUCUCUGAAGUGUCAGCACCUACUUGGAUUUGAGGAGGAAGAGUGAGCCUCAACAUUCGUGCCACCAGCCUUAACACUUAAUCAGUCCUUUCAGCUGCGCAGUUUGCCAGUGUGUCAGCUACACCUGCUCUGCCAAGCACUGCGUACUCCAUACUGUAAAAUCAAAGACCUGAAACUGAUUUUCUGUCGCCUCACAGCUUCUUGUGGUAGGGACCUCUCCUCAGUAUUUGAAACUAACCAGCAUCUGACAGAUUUCGAAUUUGUAAAAAAUACCCUCGAAGAUUCAGGAAUGAAGCUUCUGUGUGAAGGAUUAAAACAGCCCAACUGUGUCUUACAGACAUUGAGGAAUAUUUGAAAAAUAUGCAACUCAAGACGGAUGUCUUAGGAUCAAAACACAUUUCAAGGAGUCAUGAAGAGGAGGAAUAAAUGUGGCAGUCCCUAAAGUUGCUUCUGUGUAACAAGUUUAGGAAGACAAUUUUCAUUUUAAGUGGAAACAUUAUCAAUAACAAUAACUCAUGCUUAGCAAUUAUUGAGUACUAAGCAUUGUGCUGAGUAUGCACAAAUUCUUUUAAUCUGCACAACAGCUGUGAGAGAUCCAGAUUAUUACUGGUAUUUUCGCAGAUGAGGAAAUGGAAGAGGUCCAAUAUAGUUAGGGUAAAAAAAUAUGGCAAAGGCCCAAUUCAAAACUCAAAUGUGUCUGACUUCAAGUCCACCAUAAUCACAUUAAUUAAAAAAAAGUGUUAUACAUGUUAGUCAAGGUUCUCCAGAGAAACAGAACUAAUUGCGUGUGUGUGUGUGUGUGUGUGUGUGUGUGUGUGUGUGUGUGUGUGUGUGUGUAGAGAGAGAGAGAGCCAGAGCCAGAAACAGAUUUAUUUUUAAAAAUUGGCUUAUGCAGUUUUGGAGGCUGGCAAGUCCAAAACCUGAAUGGUAGGCCGGCAGGCUAGAGAAUUGGGAAAGAGUCAAUGUUGUGCUUUGAGCCUGAAGGUUGUCUGGUGGUAGAACUCCCUUUUCUGAGGAAGUCAGUCUUUUUCUAUUAAGGCUUUCAAGUGACUGGACGAAGCCAAACCAUACUAUGGAUGAUAAUCUACUUUACUCAAAAUGUACUGAUUAAAAUGUUAAUUUCACCUAAAAAGUACUUUCACAGAAACAUCUAGAAUAAUACUUGACAAAAUAUCUGGGUACCAUGGCCUAGCCAAAUUGACAUAUAAAAUUAAUCAUCACAAUAUGUAUGUGGGAUUUUUUUUAAAGCAAAAGCUCUUUAGCAUUCAAGUGUUAUGAAAUCCACAUUGAAAACUCAUUUUAUGCAAAGUACCUCUAUUUAAAAUUUCUAAAUUGGGGAGAUAUAAAUGCAUCUCCAUAUGAGCUGUCUCUCUCUCUUUUUAAUGCACAAGGAUUUAUUCUCUCUUUUUUAUUAUACUUUAAGUUUUAGGGUACAUGUGCACAAUACGCAGGUUUGUUACAUAUGUAUACAUGUGCCAUGUUGGUGUGCUGCACCCAUUAACUCGUCAUUUAGCAUUAGGUAUAUCUCCUAAUGCUAUCCCUCCCCCCUCCCCCCACCCCACAACAGGCCCCGGUGUGUGAUGUUCCCCUUCCUGUGUCCAUGUGAUCUCAUUGUUCAAUUCCCACCUAUGAGUGAGAACAUGCGGUGUUUGGUUUUUUGUCCUUGCGAUAGUUUGCUGAGAAUGAUGGUUUCCAGCUUCAUCCAUGUCCCUACAAAGGACAUGAACUCAUCAUUUUUUAUGGCUGCAUAGUAUUCCAUGGUGUAUAUGUGCCACAUUUUCUUAACCCAGUCUAUCAUUGAUGGACGUUUGGGUUGGUUCCAAGUCUUUGCUAUUAUGAAUAGUGCCGC
This is an RNA transcript of Homo sapiens (human), 5396 nucleotides long. It is a transcript of the gene named NACHT, LRR and PYD domains-containing protein 10-like, with no coding region annotated. The transcript has 6 exons. The record is from RefSeq and is marked validated. Lineage: Eukaryota; Metazoa; Chordata; Mammalia; Primates; Hominidae.